GAUGAAGAACGCAGCGAAAUGCGAUAAGUAAUGUGAAUUGCAGAAUUCAGUGAAUCAUCGAAUCUUUAAACGCAUCUUGCGCUCCUUGGUAUUCUGAGGAGCAUGCCUGUUUGAGUGUCAUUAAAUUCUCAACUACACUGACUUUGAAUUGGUGUGGCUUGGAUUUGGGGGGAAAAUUGUUGUGGGCUUUUUGUAUAGUCUGCUCCCCUGAAAUUGAUUAGCGGUACCUUUGUGGAACUGUCUACAGGUGUGAUAAUUAUCUACAUCUUAGACAUCUGCUGGAAUGCUGCUUUCUAAACCUUACUUGUAUUGACAAUCUUGACCUCAAAUCAGGUAGGACUACCCGCUGAACUUAAGCAUAUCAAUAAGCGGAGGA
RNAcentral lists this unclassified non-coding RNA (376 nucleotides) under soil metagenome. RNAcentral describes it as "partial contains 5.8S ribosomal RNA, internal transcribed spacer 2, and large subunit ribosomal RNA". The stretch from base 1 to 120 matches the Rfam family "5.8S ribosomal RNA", at positions 35 to 154 of the family's 154-position model. The record is from RNAcentral.